Molecule: ribosomal RNA, 263 nt
Filed under: uncultured bacterium
Lineage: Bacteria
Description: partial 16S ribosomal RNA
Rfam family: Bacterial small subunit ribosomal RNA
Source: RNAcentral
GUCCACACCGUAAACGAUGGAUACUAGGUGUAGGGAAUAUUAAAAUUCUCUGUGCCGCCGCUAACGCAAUAAGUAUCCCACCUGGGGAGUACGGCCGCAAGGUUGAAACUCAAAGGAAUUGACGGGGGCCCGCACAAGCAGUGGAGUAUGUGGUUUAAUUCGACGCAACGCGAAGAACCUUACCAGGGCUUGACAUAUAAGUGAAUAAUUAAGAGAUUAGUUAGCUCUUCGGAGCACUUAUACAGGUGGUGCAUGGUUGUCGU